Molecule: ribosomal RNA, 373 nt
Filed under: uncultured prokaryote
Description: bacterial SSU rRNA
Rfam family: Bacterial small subunit ribosomal RNA
Source: RNAcentral
UACGUAGGGUGCGAGCGUUAAUCGGAAUUACUGGGCGUAAAGCGUGCGCAGGCGGUUUCGUAAGCCAGACGUGAAAUCCCCGGGCUUAACCUGGGAACUGCGUUUGGGACUGCGAGGCUGGAGUACGGCAGAGGGAGGUGGAAUUCCACAUGUAGCAGUGAAAUGCGUAGAUAUGUGGAGGAACAUCGAUGGCGAAGGCAGCCUCCUGGGCUAGUACUGACGCUCAUGCACGAAAGCGUGGGGAGCAAACAGGAUUAGAUACCCUGGUAGUCCACGCCCUAAACUAUGGCGACUAGUUGUUGGGGGAUUAAUUCCCUUAGUAACGAAGCUAACGCGUGAAGUCGCCCGCCUGGGGAGUACGGUCGCAAGAUUA